This 728-nucleotide ribosomal RNA is filed under the name Gammarus oceanicus. RNAcentral describes it as "bacterial SSU rRNA". It matches the Rfam family "Eukaryotic small subunit ribosomal RNA", at positions 1255 to 1828 of the family's 1831-position model. The record is from RNAcentral. Lineage: Eukaryota; Metazoa; Arthropoda; Malacostraca; Amphipoda; Gammaridae.
CUCUUUCUCGAUUCAGUGGAUGGUGGUGCAUGGCCGUUCUUAGUUGGUGGAGUGAUCUGUCUGGUUAAUUCCGAUAACGAACGAGACUCUCCCCUGCUAACUAGUCGGUUGGAUCUUGAUCAGCGGGUUGCGUGCUGAGUAACUCUCGCUGCGUGUGAUGUGCGUUUCGUGCUUAACGGUGCGUUGCGUCUUGCGCGUAGUGUUGGAUGCCUUGGAUCACACUGCACCCCAAGUCCGCCGCUUAUGCUAUAACUCUUCUUAGAGGGAUUCACGGCACUGAAGCCGUAAGAGACUGAGAGCAAUAACAGGUCUGUGAUGCCCUUAGAUGCUCUGGGCCGCACGCGCGCUACAAUGCCGGGCACAGCAGGUGUUUCUCCUGCUCCGACAGGAGCGGGUAACCCUCUGAAAGCCAGUGUUCUUGCAAGUACUUCCUCCCUCGUGGAGUUGUACAGAGGCGUGCUUGGGCCUGGGACUUGCAAUUCUUUCCCACCAACGAGGAAUGCCUAGUAGCGGCGGGUCACUGAGCCCGCUGUGACUCAGUCCCUGCCCUUUGUACACACCGCCCGUCGCUACUACCGAUUGGGUGUACCAGUGAGAGCCUUGGACUGGCGUCCGUUGUUAUUCGCAAGAGUGACAAGCGGGUCCGACGGAAAGAGGUCCGAACUGGUGCACUUAGAGGAAGUAAAAGUCGUAACAAGGUUUCCGUAGGUGAACCUGCGGAAGGAUCA